RNAcentral lists this long non-coding RNA (455 nucleotides) under Gallus gallus (chicken). Lineage: Eukaryota; Metazoa; Chordata; Aves; Galliformes; Phasianidae. The record is from RNAcentral.
CUGUAUGAAGCCUAUAUCCCUCUGCUAUGGACUCAUUAUUAUUUAUGAGCUUUUGUCGGAUGUCUUGUUCUUCUAAAUUGAUGUUGUUGGUAGCAUUAUAAACCAGAAGGGCUAAAACCUCAAAACGUUUACUAUCGAUGUUUCUUUUUUCUCUUACUGCCUCUUUUAUGGUACCAGGUUGGAUGCUGAUAUUGACCACAUAUACAGUGUAAUUCCAGUUCUGGAAAGUAUGGUUUAGCCAUUCUGCAACCACAUCAUGUACUUUUGAUUCUGAGUUGGAGUUGUAACUAAAGACAGUUAUAGAUAUCCUGUAGAAUAGCCCACCUUGACAAAGGCUUCCUAGGUUUGCACAACUCGUUGGUUCAAUUGCAGAAGAAGGAAUUAGGUAUGAGCCACAACUUAAAUUGUUUUCUGCUUUCAGUGCUGAAGUUGGAAUACUCCAGAAUUCAUUUUCC